AAAAAAAUAAAAAGUGAUCAAUUAAAAUAACUGAACAAUAUAAUUAGAAAAAAGAGAAGAAAAAAAAUUCUAAAAUUUCACCUUCGCAUCCUAAUUCAACAACUGAAAAACUUUUUCAAAACCUAAAUAUUUUCUCACCCAAAACUUAAAAAGAAAAAUUCUCAAAAUUUAUAAUAUUUUCUUUUUACAUUUUUUUUAAAAAAAAAAUCAUCAUAGUAAACAAAGAAAACUGGUAAAAUUAUAUACUAUAAAAAAACCAUAUUUAAUCAAACAAUAGAUCUCGUCGAUGCCGAGAUCUCUGCCAAGACCAAGUGUCUCGUCGACGCCUCGUCCAGAUCUCAAUCAGACUUCGCACAGAGACAAACAGAGGAAGGGAUCCAGAUCUAGAAGUUUUCAAGCUGCAGUAAAGUCUGUUUGGGCCAUAGACGCCGGAGUUGCUCCGUCCGACUCUGAGCAAAGAGACGUCGAGAAAGAGGGGGAGAGAGAGAGAGAGAGUGGACAGAACCACCAUCGCGGUUUUCUGAUGCUUGCAAUCCUGGUGGGUGGAAAUCUCGUUCGUUGAUUGUGGGUAGAACGCUUCAUUGGGGUUGGGUGGAGGUACCGCCGGAGAAGAAGCCUGUGGGAAGAGAAAGAUGAGUCGACCAGAUUUAUUUUUAAGUUUAUUUAUUUUUUAUUUUUUUUAUUCAUUCAGUUUUUGAUUUUAAUGUUUUUUUUUUUAUUGAGAUAAAAUGCUAUUAUAUUAAACAAAGAGUUAAAAUACAAUAGGCAUAAUUGACUGAGGAACUUCCUCCAACCAUGAACAUUUAAUUUCCGCCGAAAGAGCAUAUCUAGCCAGCAAGUGAGCGGCAUUAUUAGCAGAUCUAUAAAUAUGAGAGACCUGAACUCCAGGGAAAUUGGAAACUAAAAGAGAAAUGUCGCUAAGAAAACUAUGGAAAUCAGAAACUAGCUCCUGCGAAGAUAAUAAACCGUUAACUACUGCCAAAGAAUCCGUUUCAAUGAAGUGCACUGGUAGUUGCGACCCGAAGGAGGAUUGAGCCAAGAGACUGCCGAAUUACCUGCUGAAGAUAGAGCAGGAGAAGUUGUUGAUGCCGAAGUUGCUGAUGUUUGUCUAGCAGAGUGAUAAUCCUCCAAGUAAGAGAGUGCAAAAUAAAGGAGAACAUCAAAUGGUUUUGGUUUCGUACCAUGUUUCUCUUUAUUCCUUUCUGUCCAAAUGCUCCAUAAAAUAGUUGCAAAUUGUUCAAGCUGUAGAGAAGACCAGCAAGAAGAAAUAUGAAGAAAAAAUUCCAUCAAUUUCAUUUCUGGUGCAACCAAAUCAGCGAUGUUGAAUGCUGAAUUUUGCCAAACUUUCUUGGCCCUUUUGCAGAAAAAGAGAGCAUGAGAAAUGGUUUCUUUAUUUCUGUUACACAACGAACAGCGAUCGGUAUCCGAAAUGUGUCGAUAGUGAAGGAUAUCCGCAACUGGGAGACAAUCAUGAAUAGCACGCCAUAAGAAAAUUCUAAUCUUGGAAGGCACUUUCAUUUUCCAAAACUUUUGCCACCAUUGUUGAGCUUGUAUACUGCUGACAUUCGGUUAUUGAUCUUCCAGAUCAGUAGCAAGCUUGUAUCCCGAUUUAACUGUAUAGAAACCAUGAGAAUCAUGAUGCCAAAUAAGUUGAUCU
Molecule: long non-coding RNA, 1657 nt
Organism: Cannabis sativa
Lineage: Eukaryota; Viridiplantae; Streptophyta; Magnoliopsida; Rosales; Cannabaceae
Exons: 2
Source: RefSeq, a predicted model, not a curated record